RNAcentral lists this ribosomal RNA (252 nucleotides) under uncultured bacterium. Its description in RNAcentral is "partial 16S ribosomal RNA". It matches the Rfam family "Bacterial small subunit ribosomal RNA", at positions 525 to 776 of the family's 1533-position model. The record is from RNAcentral.
ACGGAGGGUGCGAGCGUUAUCCGGAAUUACUGGGUUUAAAGGGUGCGUAGGCGGUUUAAUAAGUCAGAGGUGAAAGGCAGGCGCUUAACGUUUGGACUGCCUUUGAUACUGUUAGACUUGAAUUAGGUUGAGGUUGGCGGAAUGUGACAUGUAGCGGUGAAAUGCAUAGAUAUGUCAUAGAACACCGAUUGCGAAGGCAGCUGACUGGACCUUGAUUGACGCUGAGGCACGAAAGCGUGGGGAGCGAACAGG